This 331-nucleotide ribosomal RNA is filed under the name Frondihabitans sp. VKM Ac-2883. RNAcentral describes it as "partial 23S ribosomal RNA". It matches the Rfam family "Bacterial large subunit ribosomal RNA", at positions 2601 to 2925 of the family's 2925-position model. Lineage: Bacteria; Bacillati; Actinomycetota; Actinomycetes; Micrococcales; Microbacteriaceae. The record is from RNAcentral.
CGAGCUGGGUUUAGAACGUCGUGAGACAGUUCGGUCCCUAUCCGCUGCGCGCGUAGGAAAUUUGAGAAGAUCUAUCCUUAGUACGAGAGGACCGGGAUGGACGAACCUCUGGUGUGUCAGUUGUUCUGCCAAGAGCACCGCUGAUUAGCUACGUUCGGAACGGAUAACCGCUGAAAGCAUCUAAGCGGGAAGCCGGCUUCGAGAUGAGAUUUCCAACCCCUUCGGGGGGAGAGGCUCCCAGCUAGACUACUGGGUUGAUAGGCCGGAUGUGGAAGUGGGGACUAAAGACCCAUGGAGCUGACCGGUACUAAUAAGCCGAUAAUUUGACAAC